AGGAAAAGAAACUAACAAGGAUUCCCCUAGUAGCGGCGAGCGAAGAGGGAAGAGCCCAGCACCGAACCUCGCGCCCUCGGGUGUCGCGGAAUGUGGUGUUCAGGAGGACCGUGCGCGUCUGUCCGGUAUCGUCCAAGUCUCCAUGAAUGGGGCCAGCAACCCAGAGAGGGUGUCAGGCCCGUGGGACGAGCCGCGACCGUGUAUUGGGUCUCUCCUUAGAGUCGGGUUGCUUGAGAGUGCAGCCCUAAGCGGGAGGUAAACUCCUUCUAAGGCUAAAUACGGCCACGAGACCGAUAGCAAACAAGUACCGCGAGGGAAAGUUGAAAAGAACUUUGAAGAGAGAGUUCAAGAGUGCGUGAAACCGUUCAGGGGGUUAAACGGGUGGGCCCUCGAAGGUCGAACGGUCCCCACUCCCGUCACCUGUAGUGCCGGCCCGUGCUGCUUUUCGAUUCCGCUACGGAACGAGGCUUGGUGCGGUUCGCCGGUCUACGGGGGCCGCUAGCUGGGGACCCAGUAGGACUCCGCAACCGGCUGGGAGGCCGUCAGAAGGGUUCUGUGAGGAAGCCCCCUCGUUGGGGUGGAUUCCGGGAUUCCGGGCGGUCCUCUCGGCCGUGAACCAAAAUUUCUCUCCUCACGGGGAGAAUGAGCGGAGAGUAGAGUCGGGUCCCACCCGACCCGUCUUGAAACACGGACCAAGGAGUCUAACAUGUGCGCGAGUCGUCGGGUACUACUAAACCCGAAGGCGUAAUGAAAGUGAAGGCCGCCCUUGUUGGCGGCCGAGGGGAGAUCCCGUUCUGCUCCGGUAGCUCGGGCGCAUCCCCGGGGCGUCGAAGCCGCGUUGCCGGCUAGACGAACCAAGAGCGUACACGUUGGGACCCGAAAGAUGGUGACCUAUGCCUGGCCAGGACGAAGCCAGGGGAAACCCUGGUGGAGGUCCGCAGCGAUUCUGACGUGCAAAUCGAUCGUCUGAGUUGGGUAUAGGGGCGAAAGACUAAUCGAACCAUCUAGUAGCUGGUUCCCCCCGAAGUUCCCUCAGAAG
Molecule: ribosomal RNA, 1039 nt
Filed under: Limnadia lenticularis
Lineage: Eukaryota; Metazoa; Arthropoda; Branchiopoda; Diplostraca; Limnadiidae
Description: eukaryotic LSU rRNA
Rfam family: Eukaryotic large subunit ribosomal RNA
Source: RNAcentral